CAAAGGUUUGGUCCUGGCCUUCCUAUUAGUUAUUAACAGAAUUACACAUGCAAGCCUCCUCAUCCCGGUGAAGAUGCCCUCUAAAUCCAUAAACGAUUAAAAGGAGCGGGCAUCAGGCACACUAAAUAAGUAGCCCAUAACGCCUUGCUCAACCACACCCCCACGGGAUACAGCAGUGAUAAAAAUUAAGCCAUGAACGAAAGUUUGACUAAGCCAUGUUAAUAUUAAGAGUUGGUAAAUUUCGUGCCAGCCACCGCGGUCAUACGAUUAACCCAAAUUAAUAGGCUCACGGCGUAAAACGUGCUAAGGAUUACAAAACACUAAAGUUAAAAUUUAACCAGGCCGUAAAAAGCUACUGUUAAUAUAAAAUAUACCACGAAAGUGACUUUAUCAUCUCCAACAACACGAUAGCUGGGACCCAAACUGGGAUUAGAUACCCCACUAUGCCCAGCCCUAAACACAAACAAUUUACACAACAAAAU
RNAcentral lists this ribosomal RNA (482 nucleotides) under Martes martes (European pine marten). RNAcentral's name for it is "partial 12S ribosomal RNA". Lineage: Eukaryota; Metazoa; Chordata; Mammalia; Carnivora; Mustelidae. RNAcentral also lists the same sequence under 1 other name. The record is from RNAcentral.